Molecule: non-coding RNA, 252 nt
Organism: Vicia faba (fava bean)
Lineage: Eukaryota; Viridiplantae; Streptophyta; Magnoliopsida; Fabales; Fabaceae
Source: the annotation of a GenBank genome assembly
AUGUCAUCCUCUAAGAAACACCAACAUUCCUGUAGGAACCUGAAAUUGAACCCACCGGGUCCGGGACUAUUCUCACCAUUUGACUCCCACGUUGCCGCCCUGAUUUCCUCACGGGUGAAUUCAGCAACCAAAAAAGAAUUAUCUUCUGAAGUUAUGCCUCUAACCUGCAAACCACUGAAUAAAGGUCGCUCUUUGAUAGGUUCCACAAAGCGAUUUCUAAAAACCCCAAAGAUCUCGUUGUGGAUCCCCUAG